CCCAAAUCAAAAUCUCAGUCUUCUUCUCCGACGAGACCUACCGAAAAUCGCUGUUGUCGUCGCCACUGCCUCUCCAAAUCAGUAUGAAGUCAUCGUCCAGUCGAGGGAAUGUUACCAUGACAAAGAUGUUAUGAAAUUGCCAUGCUCAACAUCUACCAUCCACAUCAAAGCUAGCCCCAGUCCAACCUGGUGGUGUUGAACCCUCUACCUUUGGGUACUGUUCGUAUUCUCCUUCCUCUCCCUGGGUUCAUAAUUUUUUUUCCCUCUUCCGUCGCCAUCAAGAGAACGCUGUUGGUUCUGGCCAUUUAUUUGGGGAACAUUCCCUCGAUUGGACAUAUUUAUAACCAGUCCAAUUGCUAGUUCUGAUGUAUUUAAUGUGGAAGCAUCUUGAGUUAUACUGCACAGCCCCCUUGAAUUCCCAUCCUAAGCAUGAGAUUUAGGCCUGAGUCUGAGAAUCCCACUGGAGCUAGGCGAACCUCGAGGAAACUUGUACGACCACGGGUAACCAUUUAAUUGCUCCAAUUAAGGUUGGUUGGCAGUUUGAUUUGGUAUGAUUUGGUGGCUGGUUUGGUUGAUUGUAUUUCUGAUUGGGGAGUGGUAGCGACUGCCUUUGAACGACGAUGUUGAUGAUGUAUGGAUGGAGGUGAUGGCCGGCCUUUGGGUGGUAAUGUCGACAGUCGGUGCGGUGGGAAUGGGGAAGAGUAGAGUGGAAGGAAGAAGGGUUCAUUUUUAUUUUUUGGUUUUUUAAUUUUAUUUUUAACUUAUUUAACCCGUGUUUGGUUGCCAUUUCCAUUUUCAAUUGUAGAAGAAAUUGGACCGUUACACAGCAAGUUUGCAAGUGCAUUUAAUGUGCACCAGAAAUGGAAUUACAAUUUUA
RNAcentral lists this long non-coding RNA (877 nucleotides) under Olea europaea subsp. europaea. Lineage: Eukaryota; Viridiplantae; Streptophyta; Magnoliopsida; Lamiales; Oleaceae. The record is from RNAcentral.